UGGGUAACCUGCCUCAUACAGGGGGAGUAACAGUUAGAAAUGACUGCUAAUACCGCAUAAGCGCACGAUACCGCAUGGUAUUGUGUGAAAAACUCCGGUGGUAUGAGAUGGACCCGCGUCUGAUUAGCUGGUUGGCGGGGUAACGGCCCACCAAGGCGACGAUCAGUAGCCGACCUGAGAGGGUGACCGGCCACAUUGGGACUGAGACACAGCCCAAACUCCUACGGGAGGCAGCAUG
This 238-nucleotide ribosomal RNA is filed under the name uncultured bacterium. RNAcentral describes it as "partial 16S ribosomal RNA". It matches the Rfam family "Bacterial small subunit ribosomal RNA", at positions 118 to 353 of the family's 1533-position model. The record is from RNAcentral.